CUACGGGGUGCUGCCGUGAGGAAUAUUGCACAAUGGGGGGAACCCUGAUGCAGCAACGCCGCGUGGAGGAUGACGCAUUUCGGUGUGUAAACUCCUUUUAUAUGUCAAGAAAAUGACGGUAGCAUAUGAAUAAGCGCCGGCUAACUCCGUGCCAGCAGCCGCGGUAAUACGGAGGGCGCAAGCGUUACUCGGAAUCACUGGGCGUAAAGGACGCGUAGGCGGGUUGAAAAGUCAGGUGUGAAAGCCUACAGCUUAACUGUAGAACUGCACUUGAAACUCUCAACCUAGAGUAUGGGAGGGGCAGAUGGAAUUAGUGGUGUAGGGGUAAAAUCCGUAGAUAUCACUAGGAAUACCUAAAGCGAAGGCGAUCUGCUGGAACAUUACUGACGCUAAGGCGUGAAAGCGUGGGGAGCAAACAGGAUUAGAUACCCUUGUAGUC
RNAcentral lists this ribosomal RNA (439 nucleotides) under uncultured bacterium. Its description in RNAcentral is "partial 16S ribosomal RNA". It matches the Rfam family "Bacterial small subunit ribosomal RNA", at positions 339 to 795 of the family's 1533-position model. The record is from RNAcentral.